This 279-nucleotide long non-coding RNA is filed under the name Ananas comosus (pineapple). Its description in RNAcentral is "long non-coding RNA (ACOM_LNC003860)". The record is from RNAcentral. Lineage: Eukaryota; Viridiplantae; Streptophyta; Magnoliopsida; Poales; Bromeliaceae.
AAGUGGGCAUAAAAUGGACGGUCAAAAUCGAACGAUGUUCUAAAAAAGGAUGAUCGGAUCCUUCAAUUCAAGAUUAGAGUUAUUGAUCUUUAUCUAUGUAUUGAAUAAAAUUUUCUAUCAAAAAUUCAACAAAUUCCGAUUCUUUUACACCGUUAAAUUAGCAAGUAUCCCAUACCGGCCGUUAAAAAUUGUCAAAUUUGUGACCUCUUGAUCGUAAGGUAAAUGAUGUCGAAAAAUUAUAAAAUUUGAUUUCUAGAAGUUUUAAAUGCUGUAAAUAAU